RNAcentral lists this ribosomal RNA (2771 nucleotides) under Klebsiella pneumoniae subsp. ozaenae. RNAcentral describes it as "bacterial LSU rRNA". It matches the Rfam family "Bacterial large subunit ribosomal RNA". Lineage: Bacteria; Pseudomonadati; Pseudomonadota; Gammaproteobacteria; Enterobacterales; Enterobacteriaceae. The record is from RNAcentral.
AGCGUACACGGUGGAUGCCCUGGCAGUCAGAGGCGAUGAAGGACGUGCUAAUCUGCGAAAAGCGUCGGUAAGGUGAUAUGAACCGUUAUAACCGGCGAUGUCCGAAUGGGGAAACCCAGUGCAAUUCGUUGCACUAUCGUUAACUGAAUACAUAGGUUAACGAGGCGAACCGGGGGAACUGAAACAUCUAAGUACCCCGAGGAAAAGAAAUCAACCGAGAUUCCCCCAGUAGCGGCGAGCGAACGGGGAGCAGCCCAGAGUCUGAAUCAGCUUGUGUGUUAGUGGAACGGUCUGGAAAGUCCGACGGUACAGGGUGAUAGUCCCGUACACCAAAAUGCACAGGUUGUGAACUCGAAGAGUAGGGCGGGACACGUGGUAUCCUGUCUGAAUAUGGGGGGACCAUCCUCCAAGGCUAAAUACUCCUGACUGACCGAUAGUGAACCAGUACCGUGAGGGAAAGGCGAAAAGAACCCCGGCGAGGGGAGUGAAAAAGAACCUGAAACCGUGUACGUACAAGCAGUGGGAGCACCUUCGGGUGUGACUGCGUACCUUUUGUAUAAUGGGUCAGCGACUUAUAUUCUGUAGCAAGGUUAACCGUAUAGGGGAGCCGCAGGGAAACCGAGUCUUAACUGGGCGUUAAGUUGCAGGGUAUAGACCCGAAACCCGGUGAUCUAGCCAUGGGCAGGUUGAAGGUUGGGUAACACUAACUGGAGGACCGAACCGACUAAUGUUGAAAAAUUAGCGGAUGACUUGUGGCUGGGGGUGAAAGGCCAAUCAAACCGGGAGAUAGCUGGUUCUCCCCGAAAGCUAUUUAGGUAGCGCCUCGUGAAUUCAUCUUCGGGGGUAGAGCACUGUUUCGGCUAGGGGGUCAUCCCGACUUACCAACCCGAUGCAAACUACGAAUACCGAAGAAUGUUAUCACGGGAGACACACGGCGGGUGCUAACGUCCGUCGUGAAGAGGGAAACAACCCAGACCGCCAGCUAAGGUCCCAAAGUCAUGGUUAAGUGGGAAACGAUGUGGGAAGGCACAGACAGCCAGGAUGUUGGCUUAGAAGCAGCCAUCAUUUAAAGAAAGCGUAAUAGCUCACUGGUCGAGUCGGCCUGCGCGGAAGAUGUAACGGGGCUAAACCAUGCACCGAAGCUGCGGCAGCGACACUAUGUGUUGUUGGGUAGGGGAGCGUUCUGUAAGCCUGCGAAGGUGGCCUGUGAGGGUUGCUGGAGGUAUCAGAAGUGCGAAUGCUGACAUAAGUAACGAUAAAGCGGGUGAAAAGCCCGCUCGCCGGAAGACCAAGGGUUCCUGUCCAACGUUAAUCGGGGCAGGGUGAGUCGACCCCUAAGGCGAGGCCGAAAGGCGUAGUCGAUGGGAAACAGGUUAAUAUUCCUGUACUUGGUGUUACUGCGAAGGGGGGACGGAGAAGGCUAUGUUAGCCGGGCGACGGUUGUCCCGGUUUAAGCAUGUAGGCUGGUUAUCCAGGCAAAUCCGGAUAAUCAAGGCUGAGGUGUGAUGACGAGGCACUACGGUGCUGAAGUAACAAAUGCCCUGCUUCCAGGAAAAGCCUCUAAGCAUCAGGUAACAUCAAAUCGUACCCCAAACCGACACAGGUGGUCAGGUAGAGAAUACCAAGGCGCUUGAGAGAACUCGGGUGAAGGAACUAGGCAAAAUGGUGCCGUAACUUCGGGAGAAGGCACGCUGGUGUGUAGGUGAAGCCCCUGCGGGUGGAGCUGAGACCAGUCGAAGAUACCAGCUGGCUGCAACUGUUUAUUAAAAACACAGCACUGUGCAAACACGAAAGUGGACGUAUACGGUGUGACGCCUGCCCGGUGCCGGAAGGUUAAUUGAUGGGGUUAUCCGUAAGGAGAAGCUCUUGAUCGAAGCCCCGGUAAACGGCGGCCGUAACUAUAACGGUCCUAAGGUAGCGAAAUUCCUUGUCGGGUAAGUUCCGACCUGCACGAAUGGCGUAAUGAUGGCCAGGCUGUCUCCACCCGAGACUCAGUGAAAUUGAACUCGCUGUGAAGAUGCAGUGUACCCGCGGCAAGACGGAAAGACCCCGUGAACCUUUACUAUAGCUUGACACUGAACAUUGAGCCUUGAUGUGUAGGAUAGGUGGGAGGCUUUGAAGCGUGGACGCCAGUCUGCGUGGAGCCAACCUUGAAAUACCACCCUUUAAUGUUUGAUGUUCUAACGUUGGCCCCUGAUCGGGGUUGCGGACAGUGUCUGGUGGGUAGUUUGACUGGGGCGGUCUCCUCCCAAAGCGUAACGGAGGAGCACGAAGGUUAGCUAAUCCUGGUCGGACAUCAGGAGGUUAGUGCAAUGGCAUAAGCUAGCUUGACUGCGAGCGUGACGGCGCGAGCAGGUGCGAAAGCAGGUCAUAGUGAUCCGGUGGUUCUGAAUGGAAGGGCCAUCGCUCAACGGAUAAAAGGUACUCCGGGGAUAACAGGCUGAUACCGCCCAAGAGUUCAUAUCGACGGCGGUGUUUGGCACCUCGAUGUCGGCUCAUCACAUCCUGGGGCUGAAGUAGGUCCCAAGGGUAUGGCUGUUCGCCAUUUAAAGUGGUACGCGAGCUGGGUUUAGAACGUCGUGAGACAGUUCGGUCCCUAUCUGCCGUGGGCGCUGGAGAAUUGAGGGGGGCUGCUCCUAGUACGAGAGGACCGGAGUGGACGCAUCACUGGUGUUCGGGUUGUCAUGCCAAUGGCACUGCCCGGUAGCUAAAUGCGGAAGAGAUAAGUGCUGAAAGCAUCUAAGCACGAAACUUGCCCCGAGAUGAGUUCU